Molecule: ribosomal RNA, 429 nt
Filed under: Pseudomonadota bacterium
Lineage: Bacteria; Pseudomonadati; Pseudomonadota
Description: Proteobacteria bacterium partial 16S ribosomal RNA
Rfam family: Bacterial small subunit ribosomal RNA
Source: RNAcentral
UGGGGAAUAUUGGACAAUGGGCGAAAGCCUGAUCCAGCCAUGCCGCGUGUGUGAAGAAGGUCUUCGGAUUGUAAAGCACUUUAAGUUGGGAGGAAGGGCAGUAAGCGAAUACCUUGCUGUUUUGACGUUACCGACAGAAUAAGCACCGGCUAACUCUGUGCCAGCAGCCGCGGUAAUACAGAGGGUGCAAGCGUUAAUCGGAAUUACUGGGCGUAAAGCGUGCGUAGGCGGCUAAUUGAGUCGGAUGUGAAAUCCCCGAGCUUAACUUGGGAAUUGCAUUCGAUACUGGUUAGCUAGAGUGUGGGAGAGGAUGGUAGAAUUCCAGGUGUAGCGGUGAAAUGCGUAGAGAUCUGGAGGAAUACCGAUGGCGAAGGCGACCACCUGGGCUCAUACUGACACUGAGGUGCGAAAGCGUGGGGAGCAAACAGG